GAAAGAGGAGUGGCGGACGGGUGAGUAACACGUGGGUAACCUACCCAUCAGAGGGGGAUAACACUUGGAAACAGGUGCUAAUACCGCAUAACAGUUUAUGCCGCAUGGCAUAAGAGUGAAAGGCGCUUUCGGGUGUCGCUGAUGGAUGGACCCGCGGUGCAUUAGCUAGUUGGUGAGGUAACGGCUCACCAAGGCCACGAUGCAUAGCCGACCUGAGAGGGUGAUCGGCCACACUGGGACUGAGACACGGCCCAGACUCCUACGGGAGGCAGCAGUAGGGAAUCUUCGGCAAUGGACGAAAGUCUGACCGAGCAACGCCGCGUGAGUGAAGAAGGUUUUCGGAUCGUAAAACUCUGUUGUUAGAGAAGAACAAGGACGUUAGUAACUGAACGUCCCCUGACGGUAUCUAACCAGAAAGCCACGGCUAACUACGUGCCAGCAGCCGCGGUAAUACGUAGGUGGCAAGCGUUGUCCGGAUUUAUUGGGCGUAAAGCGAGCGCAGGCGGUUUCUUAAGUCUGAUGUGAAAGCCCCCGGCUCAACCGGGGAGGGUCAUUGGAAACUGGGAGACUUGAGUGCAGAAGAGGAGAGUGGAAUUCCAUGUGUAGCGGUGAAAUGCGUAGAUAUAUGGAGGAACACCAGUGGCGAAGGCGGCUCUCUGGUCUGUAACUGACGCUGAGGCUCGAAAGCG
RNAcentral lists this ribosomal RNA (689 nucleotides) under Escherichia coli. RNAcentral's name for it is "bacterial SSU rRNA". It matches the Rfam family "Bacterial small subunit ribosomal RNA", at positions 86 to 761 of the family's 1533-position model. The record is from RNAcentral. Lineage: Bacteria; Pseudomonadati; Pseudomonadota; Gammaproteobacteria; Enterobacterales; Enterobacteriaceae.